Molecule: non-coding RNA, 104 nt
Organism: Erinaceus europaeus (western European hedgehog)
Lineage: Eukaryota; Metazoa; Chordata; Mammalia; Eulipotyphla; Erinaceidae
Source: Rfam
ACUAAGAAUUUCUUUAGUGCUUGCUUCGGCAGCACAUACAGAGAAGAUUAGCAGGACCCCUGCACAAGGAUGACACGCAAAUUUGUGGAGCGUUCUGUGUUUUU